Molecule: ribosomal RNA, 497 nt
Filed under: uncultured bacterium
Lineage: Bacteria
Description: partial 16S ribosomal RNA
Rfam family: Bacterial small subunit ribosomal RNA
Source: RNAcentral
GAUGAACGCUGGCGGCGUGCCUAAUACAUGCAAGUCGAGCGAACAGACGAGGAGCUUGCUCCUCUGACGUUAGCGGCGGACGGGUGAGUAACACGUGGAUAACCUACCUAUAAGACUGGGAUAACUUCGGGAAACCGGAGCUAAUACCGGAUAAUAUAUUGAACCGCAUGGUUCAAUAGUGAAAGACGGUUUUGCUGUCACUUAUAGAUGGAUCCGCGCCGCAUUAGCUAGUUGGUAAGGUAACGGCUUACCAAGGCAACGAUGCGUAGCCGACCUGAGAGGGUGAUCGGCCACACUGGAACUGAGACGCGGUCGAGACUCCUACGGGAGGCAGCAGUAGGGAAUCUUCCGCAAUGGGCGAAAGCCUGACGGAGCAACGCCGCGUGAGUGAUGAAGGUCUUCGGAUCGUAAAACUCUGUUAUUAGGGAAGAACAAAUGUGUAAGUAACUAUGCACGUCUUGACGGUACCUAAUCAGAAAGCCACGGCUAACUACGUG